Molecule: signal recognition particle RNA, 281 nt
Filed under: Octodon degus (degu)
Lineage: Eukaryota; Metazoa; Chordata; Mammalia; Rodentia; Octodontidae
Description: Metazoan signal recognition particle RNA (ENSODEG00000025858.1)
Rfam family: Metazoan signal recognition particle RNA
About the family: The signal recognition particle (SRP) is a universally conserved ribonucleoprotein.
Source: RNAcentral
GCUGGGCACUGUGGUUCACGCCUCUAGUCCCAGCUACUCGGGAGGCCGAGGUAGGAGCAUCGCUUGAGUCCAGGAGUUCAGGGUACAGUGCGCUAUGCCCAUAGUGUGUCAGCACUGAGCUCAGCAUCAAUAUCGCGACCCUCUGUGAACAGGGGUCCACUAGGUGGCCUAAGGAGGGGUGAACUGGCCCACGUCGGAAAUGGAGCAGGUCAAAAUUCCCAUGCUGAUCAUUUUUAAAUAUAUGGAAUCUGCAUAUAUAUUCCAAGCUAAAGUUGAACUCA